GUCUGUUGUAAACGGCGGCGUUAACGUGAGCGUCCUAAGGUAGCGCGAUAAUUUGCUUUUCAAUUGAAGGAUGGUAUGAAAGGGUUAACGAAGAAGGUGCUGUGUCUAAAAAUUCAAUUUAAACUAACUUUAAGGUGAAGAGGCCUUUAUGUAAAAGAAGGACGACAAGACCCUAUGAAGCUUUAUCUUAAUUGGAGCUCUCAGGCUCUUAUACGAUUUUGAUGGGAGAUCAGUAGAAAGAAGUCUUCUACUAUCAUAUUAAUCUUACUAGUAUUUCCUAACUUUAUAUGUGUGGCUAGCUACUCUAGGGAUAACAGCGCAAUUUCUCCCGAAAGAUGGUAUUGGAGGGGAAGAUUGCGACCUCGAUGUUGGCUUUAGAUAUCCUAGAGGCGUAGAAGCUUCU
This 403-nucleotide ribosomal RNA is filed under the name Mytilus galloprovincialis (Mediterranean mussel). RNAcentral describes it as "partial 16S ribosomal RNA". It matches the Rfam family "Bacterial large subunit ribosomal RNA", at positions 1916 to 2566 of the family's 2925-position model. The record is from RNAcentral. Lineage: Eukaryota; Metazoa; Mollusca; Bivalvia; Mytilida; Mytilidae.